Molecule: transfer RNA, 72 nt
Filed under: Rattus norvegicus (Norway rat)
Lineage: Eukaryota; Metazoa; Chordata; Mammalia; Rodentia; Muridae
Rfam family: tRNA
About the family: Transfer RNA (tRNA) molecules are approximately 80 nucleotides in length.
Source: Rfam by way of RNAcentral
GGGGUUGUAGCUCAGUGGUAGAGCAUUUGCCCAACAUGCAUACAACCCUGUGCUUAGAACUCCAGAACCCCA